This 491-nucleotide ribosomal RNA is filed under the name uncultured bacterium. RNAcentral describes it as "partial 16S ribosomal RNA". It matches the Rfam family "Bacterial small subunit ribosomal RNA", at positions 29 to 507 of the family's 1533-position model. The record is from RNAcentral.
GUGAACGCUGGCGGUAGGCCUAACCCCUGCAAGUCGAACGGCAGCACAGUAAGAGCUUGCUCUUACGGGUGGCGAGUGGCGGACGGGUGAGGAAUACAUCGGAAUCUACUUUUUCGUGGGGGAUAACGUAGGGAAACUUACGCUAAUACCGCAUACGACCUACGGGUGGAAGCCGGGGAUCUUCGGACCUUGCGCGAUUGAAUGAGCCGAUGUCGGAUUAGCUAGUUGGCGGGGUAAAGGCCCACCAAGGCGACGAUCCGUAGCUGGUCUGAGAGGAUGAUCAGCCACACUGGAACUGAGACACGGUCCAGACUCCUACGGGAGGCAGCAGUGGGGAAUAUUGGACAAUGGGCGCAAGCCUGAUCCAGCCAUACCGCGUGGGUGAAGAAGGCCUUCGGGUUGUAAAGCCCUUUUGUUGGGAAAGAAAAGCAGCAGGUUAAUACCCCGCUGUUCUGACGGUACCCAAAGAAUAAGCACCGGCUAACUUCGUG